Molecule: ribosomal RNA, 602 nt
Filed under: uncultured bacterium
Lineage: Bacteria
Description: bacterial SSU rRNA
Rfam family: Bacterial small subunit ribosomal RNA
Source: RNAcentral
GGACCCGCACAAGCGGUGGAGCAUGUGGUUUAAUUCGAAGCAACGCGAAGAACCUUACCAAGUCUUGACAUCGGAAUGACCGUCCCGUAACUGGGGCUUCCCUUCGGGGCAUUCCAGACAGGUGGUGCAUGGUUGUCGUCAGCUCGUGUCGUGAGAUGUUGGGUUAAGUCCCGCAACGAGCGCAACCCUUAUCCUUAGUAGCCAGCAGUUCGGCUGGGCACUCUGGGGAGACUGCCAGGGAUAACCUGGAGGAAGGUGGGGAUGACGUCAAAUCAUCAUGCCCCUUAUGAUUUGGGCUACACACGUGCUACAAUGGCGUAAACAAAGGGAAGCGAAGGAGUGAUCUGGAGCAAAUCUCAAAAAUAACGUCUCAGUUCGGAUUGUAGUCUGCAACUCGACUACAUGAAGCUGGAAUCGCUAGUAAUCGCGGAUCAGAAUGCCGCGGUGAAUACGUUCCCGGGUCUUGUACACACCGCCCGUCACACCAUGGGAGUUGGUAACGCCCGAAGUCAGUGACCCAACCGUAAGGAGGGAGCUGCCGAAGGCGGGACUGAUAACUGGGGUGAAGUCGUAACAAGGUAGCCGUAUCGGAAGGUGCGGCU